RNAcentral lists this ribosomal RNA (489 nucleotides) under uncultured bacterium. RNAcentral describes it as "partial 16S ribosomal RNA". It matches the Rfam family "Bacterial small subunit ribosomal RNA", at positions 29 to 504 of the family's 1533-position model. The record is from RNAcentral.
AGUGAACGCUGGCGGUAGGCCUAACACAUGCAAGUCGAACGGCAGCACAGUAAGAGCUUGCUCUUACGGGUGGCGAGUGGCGGACGGGUGAGGAAUACAUCGGAAUCUACUUUUUCGUGGGGGAUAACGUAGGGAAACUUACGCUAAUACCGCAUACGACCUACGGGUGAAAGCAGGGGAUCUUCGGACCUUGCGCGAUUGAAUGAGCCGAUGUCGGAUUAGCUAGUUGGCGGGGUAAAGGCCCACCAAGGCGACGAUCCGUAGCUGGUCUGAGAGGAUGAUCAGCCACACUGGAACUGAGACACGGUCCAGACUCCUACGGGAGGCAGCAGUGGGGAAUAUUGGACAAUGGGCGCAAGCCUGAUCCAGCCAUACCGCGUGGGAGAAGAAGGCCUUCGGGUUGUAAAGCCCUUUUGUUGGGAAAGAAAAGCAGCAGGUUAAUACCCCGCUGUUCUGACGGUACCCAAAGAAUAAGCACCGGCUAACUUC